Molecule: long non-coding RNA, 1057 nt
Organism: Brachypodium distachyon (stiff brome)
Lineage: Eukaryota; Viridiplantae; Streptophyta; Magnoliopsida; Poales; Poaceae
Exons: 3
Source: RefSeq, a predicted model, not a curated record
UCUGCAGGAAGAAAAUACUUCUAAUUCUUCUUGAAUGAAUUCAAAUAAUUUUGUGGGAGUGGGACAGUGCACUAUGGCUAAAACAAAAUUGAAGAUUGCGCAUCACAAAAUCCAACAUCAAGGGCACUUUAAGGAAUUCAUUUGUGUCAAAUUGGCUCCGGUGUUCAGGCAUAGGACCAGGAGUACAGCUGGGUACAAGACAUGAACACCUUUACGUUGUUUAGUGACACCGGUAAAAUGAAUGCAUCAGGUAAUUAAUCUAGGCUGGAAGAUGCUGAAAUGCACAUCCUAUUUGCCAGAAAAAAGACAGUGGGAUGGUUGCUGCUUCACAUGUGCUAGUCACUGGAGCUCAUUACUGAUGCCUGGUAGUAAUUAACUAGAAAAAAACUCUUGUGGCAACCUGCUCUUUACUAGUGAUCUUUUCACCCUUUAUUUAUUUUUUCUGUGAUGGUAGUAGCAAGUGGUUAAACACAACCAUGAUUUGUGCAGUUUGGAUCCUGAAUCUUGAUCUAGUUUUGACAGAGGGGGGCAUGCCCCAUGCACGUGAGGAGACCACUCACUGCUGAGUCACAGAGGCGAGUGAAAAGAAGACAGACGGUGCUGGAGGAAUUGAAGAUCCCUAUGCACCAUCUGGAGGAGGAGGAGAAAGAGCAUGGGUAUGGAGGAGGUAGCUGCUGCUGCUCACCAAAGGUGCCCAGGUAAAGCCUGGAAGGUUUGGUGGUGGCCAGGAUGGACUUCUCUGGAAACAAGAAGCUGACGAGAGAAAGAGGCAGGUAAGUCAUAUGCAUGCGUGGCAGCAUGACAUGGCUGGGGUAUGACGUUGUACUUUCUGCCUGCCAGCAGCGCCAGGUGACGCCCGCCACUGACUGACGCUACAAUCGGUGCAGAUGGAUCCAAGCUACCUAUGUGCCUACGUGUCAGUGGACCAGAAAGGCCUCUCGCCCUGAGUCAGCACCGUGUCCUGAGCCUAGAGCCCACCGAGUGCACACUUGGCACACUUGGAUGACACGUGUUUUUUCUCGACGUUUUCAAUAAAUAUCGCAUCUCUAAUUCUAAA